AGAUUGAACGCUGGCGGCAUGCCUUACACAUGCAAGUCGAACGGCAGCACGGGAGCAAUCCUGGUGGCGAGUGGCGAACGGGUGAGUAAUAUAUCGGAACGUGCCCAGUCGUGGGGGAUAACGCAGUGAAAGCUGUGCUAAUACCGCAUACGAUCUAUGGAUGAAAGCGGGGGACUCGCAAGAGCCUCGCGCGAUUGGAGCGGCCGAUAUCAGAUUAGCUAGUUGGUGGGUAAAGCCACCAAGGCGACGAUCUGUAGCUGGUCUGAGAGGACGACCAGCCACACUGGAACUGAGACACGGUCCAGACUCCUACGGGAGGCAGCAGUGGGGAAUUUGGACAAUGGGCGCAAGCCUGAUCCAGCAAUGCCGCGUGCAGGAUGAAGGCCUUGGUGUAACUGCUUUGUACGGAACGAAAAGUCCUACUCUAAUACAAGGGCCCAUGACGUACGUAAGAAUAAGCACGGCUAACUACG
RNAcentral lists this ribosomal RNA (473 nucleotides) under uncultured soil bacterium. RNAcentral describes it as "bacterial SSU rRNA". It matches the Rfam family "Bacterial small subunit ribosomal RNA", at positions 26 to 505 of the family's 1533-position model. The record is from RNAcentral.